RNAcentral lists this long non-coding RNA (1152 nucleotides) under Marmota monax (woodchuck). Lineage: Eukaryota; Metazoa; Chordata; Mammalia; Rodentia; Sciuridae. The record is from RNAcentral.
UACUUGGUAAAUUUCUCGGUCCACAGGAUAAAUGCUAACAAGUUUAGUAAUGUGACUGCAGCCUUCUCAGCUAAUCUUCUGCUGGCAGGCAAGCCCUGUGAAAAGGCAGAUGCAGGAUGAGCCCUUUAUAAGAAAAUCAGGCUGACCUCACUUGAAAGCUAUGCAGCCUGUGCUGACCUCUUCCCAGGCAGCAGGUAGCCGGUCAAAAUCAGCCCCAAGCCAGGAGCUCUGACUACCUCUUCAAGAUUUUUCAUCCCAUAGCAUGAUUCCAUACAUAUAUGGUGGGGAAGGAGUUUAAUUAACAAAGCUAAAUCUUCUAAAUCCUGUUUGAAGCAAGUUAUAAUUACUCUGUUGGUAGAAUCUGCUAUAAACUCCAGAUACAGUUCCUGAAUGGGGCCCUGAUGCUGCCUUUGUAAGAUGUGAUAGAAGGUUUUAAUUAAGUUUCUAAAUUGCAGAGUGCCUGCAUCAUGCUGGUGACCACAACAAGCAUCUUAUCACAUUGUUAAUUCGAUGUCCUGCCUUUUCUGAGGUCGGUUUCUGUGAGAAGACUGGUUAGGUUCAAAAUAAGGUAGGAGGAAUACUGCAGUUUUAUGUAUCAGAAAAUCAAAACAUAACAUAUGUUAGAGGUAUAGUCUUAACAAUUAAAUUAUCCAAAGAAGCACAGAAAAUAAAUGUCUCGUGCCAUCUGUAAAGCAUGAAAAGGCAGAUCUACAUUCAAGUAUUUCCUCUGUGCCAACAUCAGUAUGUCCAAGCCAAUUGCAUUAGUGUGUCCAGAUAAAAUUAAUCCCAGAGCUGUGGUUUCUCUUGAGUUUUAGUCCAGUGCUGUCCAGUACAGUUUUCUGCAGCAAUAGAAAUGUUUUACUCUGCACUGUCCAAUAGGAACUAGAGAAUUGAAUUCUUACUUUUGGUUUAUGUUAAUUAUUCUAAAAUCUCACCACAUGUGCCUAGUGGCUAACAUAAUGGACAGCACAAUUUGUUUCGUUAGUGAAGGGUGCUGUUUUCUGCUCUCUGUGAGAUUCACCACAAUCUUCCUUGCAACUAUUUUCUUUGACUCUUUUGAAAGUUUUGAAAUUUUUCACAUCAGCCUUAUAUUACUAAUCUAGGCAUGUGAAGAAUGUCUUCUCUGUGUGGGCCAACAUACUGCUUCAAGGA